This 467-nucleotide ribosomal RNA is filed under the name uncultured bacterium. Its description in RNAcentral is "partial 16S ribosomal RNA". It matches the Rfam family "Bacterial small subunit ribosomal RNA", at positions 28 to 506 of the family's 1533-position model. The record is from RNAcentral.
GACGAACGCUGGCGGCGUGCUUAACACAUGCAAGUCGAACGGAAAGGCCCUGCUUUUGUGGGGUGCUCGAGUGGCGAACGGGUGAGUAACACGUGAGUAACCUGCCCUUGACUUUGGGAUAACUUCAGGAAACUGGGGCUAAUACCGGAUAGGAGCUCCUGCUGCAUGGUGGGGGUUGGAAAGUUUCGGCGGUUGGGGAUGGACUCGCGGCUUAUCAGCUUGUUGGUGGGGUAGUGGCUUACCAAGGCUUUGACGGGUAGCCGGCCUGAGAGGGUGACCGGCCACAUUGGGACUGAGAUACGGCCCAGACUCCUACGGGAGCCAGCAGUGGGGAAUAUUGCACAAUGGGCGGAAGCCUGAUGCAGCAACGCCGCGUGCGGGAUGACGGCCUUCGGGUUGUAAACCGCUUUCGCCUGUGACGAAGCGUGAGUGACGGUAAUGGGUAAAGAAGCACCGGCGAACUACGU